RNAcentral lists this ribosomal RNA (564 nucleotides) under uncultured bacterium. RNAcentral's name for it is "bacterial SSU rRNA". It matches the Rfam family "Bacterial small subunit ribosomal RNA", at positions 338 to 916 of the family's 1533-position model. The record is from RNAcentral.
CCUACGGGAGGCAGCAGUGGGGAAUCUUGCGCAAUGGGCGAAAGCCUGACGCAGCAACGCCGCGUGCGGGAAGAAGGCUUUCGGGCUGUAAACCGCUUUCAGCAGGAACGAAAAUGACGGUACCUGCAGAAGAAGGAGCGGCCAACUAUGUGCCAGCAGCCGCGGUGAUACAUAGGCUUCAAGCGUUGUCCGGAUUUAUUGGGCGUAAAGAGUUCGUAGGCGGUCGAGUAAGUCGGGUGUGAAAAUUCUGGGCUCAACCCAGAGACGCCACCCGAUACUGCUUAACUUGAGUUCGAUAGGGGAGUGGGGAAUUCCUAGUGUAGCGGUGAAAUGCGCAGAUAUUAGGAGGAACACCGGUGGCGAAGGCGCCACUCUGGAUCGAUACUGACGCUGAGGAACGAAAGCAUGGGUAGCAAACAGGAUUAGAUACCCUGGUAGUCCAUGCCGUAAACGGUGGGCACUAGGUGUGGGAUUCUAUUAACGAAUUCCGCGCCGUCGCUAACGCAUUAAGUGCCCCGCCUGGGGAGUACGGUCGCAAGACUAAAACCCCAAAUGAAUUGACGG